CCUACGGGUGGCAGCAGUAGGGAAUCUUCCACAAUGGGCGCAAGCCUGAUGGAGCAACACCGCGUGAGUGAAGAAGGGUUUAGGCUCGUAAAGCUCUGUUGUUGGAGAAGAACGUGCGUGGGAGUAACUGUGCACGCAGUGACGGUAUCCAACCAGAAAGUCACGGCUAACUCCGUGCCAGCAGACGCGGUCGUACGUAGGUGGCAAGCGUUGUCCGGAUUUAUUGGGCGUAAAGCGGGCGCAGGCGGUUGCUUAGGUCUGAUGGGAAAGCCUUCGGCUUAACCGAAGAAGUGCCUAGGAAACCGGGCGACUUGAGUGCAGAAGAGGACAGUGGAACUCCAUGUGUAGCGGUGGAAUGCGUAGAUAUAUGGAAGAACCCCAGUGGCGAAGGCGGCUGUCUGGUCUGCAACUGACGCUGAGGCUCGAAAGCAUGGGUAGCGAACAGGAUUAGAUACCCGGGUAGUC
This 465-nucleotide ribosomal RNA is filed under the name uncultured bacterium. RNAcentral describes it as "partial 16S ribosomal RNA". It matches the Rfam family "Bacterial small subunit ribosomal RNA", at positions 338 to 795 of the family's 1533-position model. The record is from RNAcentral.